CACUGUUCUCAUGACAGUCACUGUAGAGAUAGGGAUAACAGAAUAAAAAAGAUGAAAUAAGACUGAACUCCACGAAUUUGUACAAAAUCAAGUCCUUAGAAUGUGCUAAUUAAUCCCAGCCAUCCCUCCAUACAUCACACUAUCUUGGCGUCCAAAUAAACUGGGUGUGUCUGAACUUCGACACAAAAUUUUUAUCAUAUAAAUCCAACAGAAACAAUAAACCCAGGCGUUGCAAUGACGGGGAGGUAGCGAUCGUAAGUGUUUAUGGAUGAGGAAAGAAAUGGAUCAAUGAGUAGGAAAAAAGGGGCCAGAAUUAUUUACCCAACAACAGAGGAAGGCUAAGCUCAGCAGCAGGAGCACCUGCGUGAUAUUUCAUAGAUAGAAUCUCCGAAAAAGAAAUGGAAGACAUGGAUAAUUCCUGUGUUGUGUUCAAGACGACGAUUUCAGUGAAUGACUACCUCAGGAAUUCAGACGCACCUAACAAUUGUGUGCUCAAGUUUUUGGGUAGAAUGUCUUUUUAGCCUGUCAAGAAGAAUCCUCUCUUUGGGUAUUCGUCCUCCAUAUUGCCAAAAGGUAUCAUCACAAAGGGUUUUAGGAAACCUAUGAAAGGUAGAGCUACAUGUGAACAUGGAGAAAGGAGCACACCAUGUUUGCAGAGGUGUGGAGAUCUGUGGCACACUAUAUCAAAUAUGCAACACCAUAAAAGUGUAAAAGUGGAAACUUUAAACUGAAUGUUUUGAAAGAAAGUGGGUGACGAAAUUCCUGUUGGUUUUUGUACUUUUAUGGAUUUCAGCAUUUUUUCAAUUCAAAUAUCAUAUUUAUCUAGAGUACUUUGAUUGCAUUGGUCAGACCAAGGAAAUUAAAUUCAGGCAUUUCAAAGUGAAUGUUGACAGAAUAAUUUAUUCUUAAUCACCAUCUUUUGGUUU
Long non-coding RNA from Cryptomeria japonica (Japanese cedar), 926 nucleotides. RefSeq lists it as uncharacterized. The transcript is spliced from 2 exons. NCBI's taxonomy places the organism in Eukaryota, Viridiplantae, Streptophyta, Pinopsida, Cupressales, Cupressaceae. The record is from RefSeq and is a predicted model, not a curated record.